Molecule: long non-coding RNA, 460 nt
Filed under: Fukomys damarensis (Damara mole-rat)
Lineage: Eukaryota; Metazoa; Chordata; Mammalia; Rodentia; Bathyergidae
Description: lncRNA (ENSFDAG00000030742.1)
Source: RNAcentral
UGGUUUUCCUGAUGCAAACUAGGCUGUUGUCUGAGGAGGAGCUCGGGACCUCGCUGUCACUGGGAAUGGCUGCUGCCUUCAUGGGGGGAGCUCUGGCCUUUACUGUCCUUCCUGGGGAAAGCAGCCUGAAGAGACUUCCUCUUCACUGAGACUGGACUGGACGGGGAAGAGGAUCUGCAGGCCUGGAGGGAACCUGGUCCCAGCAGGAAGCGCAGCGUGCAGAGGCAGCACGGCAGGGCCCAGGUCAGACUGCUACCGUAGAAGUUGGCCUCAUUCUGCUCAUUCUGGGAUGGUGGCAGCGGCUCGGACUGCUGCCAUGUUAUGCAUUUGGAAGAAUGAUUGCAUUAUAAAACCCAUUCCAAGCUUCCCACUGUUUCAACAGUGGAAAUAGUGAAGAGUGUUUGGACCGAUUUAUGUAAUUCUGAUAUUACUGAAGACUUUUACCACUCAAGCAUUCCCC